AUGAUUUGUGGGUGCAUUCAUUCGGAAGUCGUGAAGCGAAAGUGUGUUCAUUGAAUUUUGAAGUUUUUAAGUCGACGUGUAUUGCCGACAUACUUAACUAGACCCUGAUAGAAUUACCUAAAUUCAACAUUCGACAAUCACCACAGAACGAUUGCACACAUAAAAGACAGAGCUACCCAGGUUUAUUUGUAAAGUUUGCCAUGGGGCCUGAGUCCGUCAGAUCAACUUCCGGAACAGUUCACUUCCGGCAGCAACUACAGGAUCCCGAGUUCCGCCGGAAGUUCAUCCACACCUUGAUACUUUUCUUUGCGUUCCUAGCCAUGGGUAUUAGCCGUUCCCAACAUGGCCCGGCGUUCUUGGACUUUGCCCAGAUCACUGGGAGCAAUGUAGAGGAAGCAUCAGUCUUCUACACGUCCCUCGCGGCAGGGGGACUCGUGGGAUCAGCCAUCAUGGGUGUCCUCAUUGAGAAAGUAGCCAAGUACAGGCAAGGCCUGCUGGCCAUUUUUACCCUACUGAGCACUGUCAGUGACAGCGCCUUACCAUGGAGUACGAACUACGUCUUGACCAUUUGUCUAUUUUUUCUCAAUGGGACAGUAACAUCAGCUUUUGAUUCAGGUGGAACUUUUGACAUGAUGCACACGUGGGGUGUAGGAGGCAAGAUGUAUAUACGGAUUCUAUCCUUUCUCUAUUCCGCCGGAACGAUCAUAGCACCGUUCACCGUGGAACCCUUCCUAUCCGAGAAAAAAGACUACAACGCGACCUUCUGUGACAUACAUAACUUCCCGCAGUCUUAUAACUACACCGACGGACAUGUUGCUGUCAUCUUGAAUGAAACAACAUUCCCUAUUCCGGAGAGUUGUCUCCCUUCCGAAAGUCGCAUUCAGUACGGAUACCUGAUAGCAGGAGGGAUCAGUUUGCUAUCAGGAAUCAUGAUUACUGCAGAAUGCUUUUUAAGUCCUCAAAACGCGAAACGUGAAACAAGAAAUGAGAAACUUCGAAAUCCUAGGGUGCUUCCCAGAUGGUUGCGUCUGCUUGUCCUUGGGAGUGUGGGAGGCCUCUAUUUCUUCAACUGUUCUUCCAUCAGUGUCAUCAUUGGCUACAUGAUGGCGUAUUUUGUAAAUGACCUUGGAUGGAGCAAGGAAAAGACUGCCAACUUAACAUCGCUCUAUUGGGCGAGUUUCGCAGCCUCUCGCUUGCUGUGUAUGCUGUUGGAUCGAAUCCUUAACCCUCGUCAGCUUUUGUUUAUUUCUAAUGGUCUUGGCGUAUUGUCUGUAGGUGGUCUGUGGCUCAGCAUAAUUUAUAAAUCCGACCCAGGGAUAUGGAUCUGCAUGGUCCUUGCAGCUUUAGGAAUGUCAGCUAUAUUCCCAACUGGACUUGUGUAUAUUGAAAAUGACGUGAUGAAGGUAUCAGGGGUAGUGACGACAGUCAUCUGGAUAGCAGGGAGCUCGCAAGGAAUUCUGAUGCCUUUGUUGCUCGGUUACCUCCUUCAGAUGGUAUCCUACAAAUGGUACAUCUACCUCGCUUUAAUCGAGGCCGUUGUGGCCUUUGUGUUUUUUGAGUCCCUUGUUCUGAUUGUUAAGACGCUUGUGACGAAGUAUGGCUCUAUUGAAACGGAAAAUACAGUUGAUGAGGAGGAGACAUUUAUUGAGAAAAACGAUGGAACAGAGAGCAAUUGCGAAACACGAUUGAACGUUUAGACUUAACUUAUACAAAUAGUGAGUGAGUAUGGUUUAACGCCGCUUUUAGCAAUAUUCGAGCGAUAUCACGGCGGGGGACAUCAGAAAUGUUGGGAAUCGUUUCAGCUAUAUCCUAGCAUGUGUGCAUAAUAAUUAAAGGGUUCUGGUUCUGACAAACCAAAGAUCAUACCAAGGGGACAUCUGUUAUUCGAACCCACGAGGAGUGCGGAGCCGUGAGGAGUGUGGAGUGGAGAGGAGUGCAGAGCGGAGAGGAAUGGAUAUCAGUGGAACGACUUGGAGAGGAGAGGAGAGCGGAGAGGAGCAGAGAUUAGCGGAGCGACCUGGAGAGGAGAGCGGAGCAACCUGGAGAGGAGAGUGGAGCGACCUAGAGAGGAGAGAGGAGAGGACAGCAGAGCAGAGAGGAGAGCGGUGCGGAGAGGAGUAGAGAUUAGCGGAGCGACCGCGAGAGGAGAGCGGAGUGGAGAGGAGAGGACAGCAGAGCAGAGAGGAGAGCGGUGCGGAGAUGAGUGGAGAGUGGAGUGGAGUAGAGAUUAGCAGAGCCUGCUGGAAAGGAGAGCGGCUCCAUUGUGUAUUCAUUUUCGGCUCCAUUGUGUAUUCAUUUUCGGCUCCAUAAUGUAUUCAAUAUCGGCUCCAUUAUGUAUUCAUUAUCCAGUGCAAGAAGAAGGAAAUGAUUAUAUAUAUAAAUGUGUCACACUUUGCAUUUACAGUGGUUAAAUGCAUGAUUGUAACACAUGUAAACUAGCAAGUCCAGCCUCAUUGGACACAAAUGUACAUAAAACAUAUCAGUGAAAGUAUUGUAGCAUAUGAUCAUCCCUUACGUCAGAAAGCAUAAACACCAUUGCCACAAAUGCUAUGAUUGACAAACAAUUCCAAGCAUGAGUUCCGAAGUUGAUACUUCAGUUUAUGCAUUUAGUUUGAUUGUCGUAAGUCUGUCUGAAACUGUCUGUCCACACAAAAUGGGUUUGAAAUAUGGACAUUUUCUUUUUUUCAAAUGUUUACUUGCCUUAGAAUGUUUAUGUAUUAAUUCGGAAAUGAAAAUGUGUUUGAACAGUUUAUUCUCUCUACUAACCGGUACUAAAAUAAGAGGAUCAUAAAUGUUUCCACUGUGUGAAAUAUUGGGUUCACAUUGCUUUAUUUUCACAUGUACUGAUAGCCUUGCCAUCAUGUCACGUAUGACCUCAUUAACCUCUGGCUAAGCGAAACACGAUUAUGCAGGUUGACACAGUUCCAUCAGGUCACCAGUGGAGUGGAGUGAGUGAGUUAAAAUUUAACGUCACAUCAGCAAUAUUUCAGCCAUGUCGUGAUGAGACAAAAUUAUACAUUAAAAUUACAUAUAUUUUAGACUUAAUAAAAACCUGUCAUCGAUGGACAGUACAAUAACUAGAAUAUCACAGAUUCGAUUUAAAACUAGUUGAGAACAUUUAAAAAAACAAAUUAUCAGGAAACAACACUAUAAACACGGGCUAUAGAUCACCAGCAACUGAAGGUAGAUCACUAAACUAGGGACCAAGGUGACUUACAGUACCUUUGCUACCUGUAUGAACUCCAACAGGAUUUACACCAUCACUUCAGCCGGCGGCGAUUGUUGUCAAGUUUAGCCAUCAAUUAAAACAAAUAUAUCAUGAUUAAAAUGUGGUUGGCCUAAAUUUACUUUCAGUGAUGUGGAACUUAUGUACCCUCUCAGGGGGACAAUACUUUUACAGUACUUUAACCCCUUUGGAGGAUACGGCCACUAACAAUCUCAGUUGCUUAUUUAAUCUACCAAUUUAAAAACAUUUAGUUUUUACAACAUAUACAUCACAUUGGGUCAAAUAACUCUAUUGCCUUUCAAAAGUCAAUGAUUAAACAAGAAUUAAUACUAUUAAAAACAUCUUUAAUAGAUGAUGAUUUGAAAUAUGUAUCCCUUGUGAUGGAAACAUCAACACCGCCAAGCAGGACAUGCUUGAAUGUGAUACUUUCAUCACAGAGGGAUACAAAAUGGAUGAUCCUCACCUUUCAAUAAAUAUUCAUGUUUAUAUCUUGAAUGGCCAAUACGACAUCGUCGUAUAAUGACCUCUUCCAAUCUGGACUAAUAACCCAAGUAGGUGUAAGCGAUAGUUGGUUUUAUUAUAUGUUAUUUGUUAAUACCUUCUUGGGUGUCCCAUUUCUUUUGUAUUAGACUUCUGAUGUAACAUCUAAUUACAGGUUUAUAAUCACUGUAUGGAAUGACAAGUGGUGUCACAGAUUUGUUGAGUGCUGCUUUAGCAGCAGCAGCAACCAUUGAGUCCAACAUGACUGGGUAACCAACAAAAGACGAUGUCGUACUGGUCAUUGUAAGAUUGUUAUGUAAUUCUACAAUUGCUCGUAAAAGAUGAUGUUCAUAUGAAAUAUUCUUAAUGGCCUGCAGACAGGAAAGGGAAUCGGAAAAUGUGAUGAACUGUUUAUGUUUUUAAUAUUGCCUGUGAUUCUGCCGUAAACAUUGAACUGUUAUUUGGUAAUUGUCAAGAUCACAGAUAAUCUUGUAUGUAUUAAUUAAAUGUUAGUACUUUUGAUAGAUGUAUUGGUAUGGUUAAAUUAGUAUAUUGAGCUUGGCGGGUGGUUUUUGAAUACUGUCAGGUAUAACUGGGUAAUUUCAGGGAAGCGUGACUGGAUACGGCUGAUAGCUGGGGAGUUUAUUGGUGUAACAAUAGGGAGGUCAGGGGUAGCUUGGACUUUGGGGUCAGUUUAAAUAGCAGGGCAGGGUAAUAAUUUGUACAGUCAGCCAGAACCAGUAUGUUCAUAUAAGGCAUGGACUGACAUUGUGGGAGCUUUCUUCUCUGGUUGGCUGUCCCGGAACUGACCGGUCAUCCUUAUAAAUAAGGAUGUGUAAGGAGAGAAGUGUCUCCGAAACUGUGUUAGGAGCGAAAUAUCUCCGAUUAGUGUGAGCAUCACACAGCAUGCCUCUGUGGGAGUAGGAUGGCUACUGACGUGACAUUCACAUAACGGGCAAUUUCAUUGA
RNAcentral lists this unclassified non-coding RNA (4674 nucleotides) under Haliotis rufescens (red abalone). RNAcentral's name for it is "sodium-dependent glucose transporter 1-like, transcript variant X1". Lineage: Eukaryota; Metazoa; Mollusca; Gastropoda; Lepetellida; Haliotidae. The record is from RNAcentral.